RNAcentral lists this ribosomal RNA (500 nucleotides) under uncultured soil bacterium. Its description in RNAcentral is "bacterial SSU rRNA". It matches the Rfam family "Bacterial small subunit ribosomal RNA", at positions 26 to 529 of the family's 1533-position model. The record is from RNAcentral.
AGAUUGAACGCUAGCGGGAUGCUUUACACAUGCAAGUCGAACGGCAGCGCGGACUUCGGUCUGGCGGCGAGUGGCGAACGGGUGAGUAAUAUAUCGGAACGUGCCCAGUAGCGGGGGGAUAACUACGCGAAAGCGUGGCUAAUACCGCAUACGCCCUACGGGGGAAAGGGGGGGAUCGCAAGACCUCUCACUAUUGGAGCGGCCGAUAUCAGAUUAGCUAGUUGGUGGGGUAAAGGCCCACCAAGGCGACGAUCUGUAGCUGGUUUGAGAGGACGACCAGCCACACUGGGACUGAGACACGGCCCAGACUCCUACGGGAGGCAGCAGUGGGGAAUUUGGACAAUGGGGGAAACCUGAUCCAGCCAUCCCGCGUGUGCGAUGAAGGCCUUCGGGUUGUAAGCACUUUUGGCAGGAAGAACGGACGCAUUCUAAUACGAUGCGUCACUGACGUACUGCAGAAUAAGCACCGCUAACUACGUGCCAGCAGCCGCGUAAUCGUA